Molecule: ribosomal RNA, 253 nt
Filed under: uncultured bacterium
Lineage: Bacteria
Description: partial 16S ribosomal RNA
Rfam family: Bacterial small subunit ribosomal RNA
Source: RNAcentral
UACGUAGGGGGCUAGCGUUGUCCGGAUUCAUUGGGCGUAAAGGGUGCGUAGGUGGCGUCGUAAGUCGGGUGUGAAAUUUCGGAGCUUAACUCCGAAACUGCAUUCGAUACUGCGGUGCUUGAGGACUGGAGAGGAGACUGGAAUUUACGGUGUAGCAGUGAAAUGCGUAGAUAUCGUAAGGAAGACCAGUGGCGAAGGCGGGUCUCUGGACAGUUCCUGACGCUGAGGCACGAAGGCCAGGGGAGCAAACGGG